Molecule: long non-coding RNA, 303 nt
Filed under: Citrus maxima (pomelo)
Lineage: Eukaryota; Viridiplantae; Streptophyta; Magnoliopsida; Sapindales; Rutaceae
Description: long non-coding RNA (CMAX_LNC000706)
Source: RNAcentral
CAUUGCCAAAGUAGUAAAGUUGGGAAGGCACUGAAGAAAGAAGGGAAUUUCUCAUUUUUAAUUUAUUAGACCAGCAGCCUGCGAUAACAUAAUGUAAAGAAAAUAAAUAACUGAAAUGAAAUAAUUUCAUAAUGAAACUUGGACCCAUUGAAGCAUCAUCUACAAAGUUCCUCACCUCUGAUGAGAGCAAAUGAAAAAGCACUUGUGCAAAAACCAACUUUAAAGAGAAGAACUUUUAUAGGAAAAAGGAAAGGAAAGAGGGCUAAUAAUGGGACUGGAACUUGAAGCUGAAGUGGUUUCUUG